This 318-nucleotide ribosomal RNA is filed under the name uncultured cyanobacterium. RNAcentral's name for it is "bacterial SSU rRNA". It matches the Rfam family "Bacterial small subunit ribosomal RNA", at positions 241 to 573 of the family's 1533-position model. Lineage: Bacteria; Bacillati; Cyanobacteriota. The record is from RNAcentral.
UUAGCUAGUUGGUGGGGUAAAGGCCUACCAAGGCGACGAUCAGUAGCUGGUCUGAGAGGAUGAUCAGCCACACUGGAACUGAGACACGCUCCAGACUCCUACGGGAGGCAGCAGUGAGGAAUUUUCUGCAAUGGGCGAAAGCCUGACAGAGCAAUACCGCGUGAAGGAUGAAGGCCUACGGGUUGUAAACCUCUUUUCUCAAGGAGGAAGAUCUGACGUUACUUGAGGAAUAAGCAUCGGCUAACCCCUGUGCCAGCAGCCGCGGUAAUACCGGGGAUGCAAGUGUUAUCCGGAAUUAUUGGGCGUAAAGCGUCCGAA